CAGAGGGUGCGAGCGUUAAUCGGAAUUACUGGGCGUAAAGCGCGCGUAGGCGGCUUUGCAAGUCGGAUGUGAAAUCCCCAGGCUUAACCUGGGAACUGCAUUCGAGACUGCAUUGCUAGAGUAUGGGAGAGGGAAGUGGAAUUUCCGGUGUAGCGGUGAAAUGCGUAGAUAUCGGAAGGAACAUCAGUGGCGAAAGCGACUUCCUGGACCAAUACUGACGUUCAUGUGCGAAAGCGUGGGGAGCAAACAGGAUUAGAUACCCUGGUAGUCCACGCCAUAAACGAUGAGAACUGGAUGUCGGGAGGGUCUGCCUCUCGGUGUCGUAGCUAACGCGUUAAGUUCUCCGCCUGGGGAGUACGGCCGCAAGGUUG
RNAcentral lists this ribosomal RNA (371 nucleotides) under uncultured organism. RNAcentral describes it as "bacterial SSU rRNA". It matches the Rfam family "Bacterial small subunit ribosomal RNA", at positions 526 to 896 of the family's 1533-position model. The record is from RNAcentral.